UGGACACUUGUCAUUGAUUUAGGCCCUGUCCAGGUAAUCCAGGAUGAUUUCAUCUCAAGAUCCUUAACCUAAUUACAUCUACGAAGACCUUUUUCCCAAAUAAGACAACACUCAUAGUGACAGGUUCCAGGAAGAAAU
Molecule: long non-coding RNA, 138 nt
Organism: Balaenoptera musculus (blue whale)
Lineage: Eukaryota; Metazoa; Chordata; Mammalia; Artiodactyla; Balaenopteridae
Exons: 3
Source: RefSeq, a predicted model, not a curated record